RNAcentral lists this transfer RNA (44 nucleotides) under Orcinus orca (killer whale). Its description in RNAcentral is "partial tRNA-Cys". Lineage: Eukaryota; Metazoa; Chordata; Mammalia; Artiodactyla; Delphinidae. The record is from RNAcentral.
UGAAUUGCAAAUUCAAAGAAGCAGCUUUAAUCCUGCCUGGGCUU